GAAGGCUUGGUGUAGUGGUAGCAUGUCUGAUUCCAGUCCAGAUGGUCACCGGUUCAAAUCCGGUAGUCUUCA
This 72-nucleotide transfer RNA is filed under the name Ascocoryne sarcoides NRRL 50072. Its description in RNAcentral is "tRNA-Trp (CCA) (tRNA-Trp-CCA-3-1)". It matches the Rfam family "tRNA". Rfam says of the family: Transfer RNA (tRNA) molecules are approximately 80 nucleotides in length. Their secondary structure includes four short double-helical elements and three loops (D, anti-codon, and T loops). Lineage: Eukaryota; Fungi; Ascomycota; Leotiomycetes; Helotiales; Gelatinodiscaceae. The record is from RNAcentral.